GACGUAGGUGGCGAACGUUAUCCGGAAUCAUUGGGCGUAAAGGGCGCGUAGGCGGCUUGGCAAGUGGAUGGUGAAAUCCCUCGGCUUAACCGAGGAACUGCCGUCCAAACUGCUUCGCUUGAGACCGGGAGAGGUGAGUGGAAUUCCCAGUGUAGCGGUGAAAUGCGUAGAUAUUGGGAGGAACACCAGUGGCGAAGGCGGCUCACUGGACCGGUACUGACGCUGAUGCGCGAAAGCGUGGGGAGCAAACGGG
RNAcentral lists this ribosomal RNA (253 nucleotides) under uncultured bacterium. Its description in RNAcentral is "partial 16S ribosomal RNA". It matches the Rfam family "Bacterial small subunit ribosomal RNA", at positions 524 to 776 of the family's 1533-position model. The record is from RNAcentral.